GUCACUGUAGCUCCAUUGAAUGUUGGACUAGAACCUGUGGCAGCCUUCACUACUCCAUUAGUAAUUAUCUCUUUAAUACGAUUAACAGCCCUGUCAACCAGCUCCCUCGUCUGACCCUGGACAUGAAGAUACAAAGGGCGAUCUCCAGGUCCCACUUUUGCCUUUUCCUCUGCAGUCAUGAAUCGCCCUCGAGUAGAGACAGCCGCUCCACUCAGUCGACUUAUCUCAUCCUGGGUCUGCCCCCUCGUCAGGAGGUUUCUGCACGUCAGGGGCACAUCGUUGAUUUCCACCUCUGCCACCACGAGGUCAUCUUUGCUUUUAUUUGUGGCCGGGCCUUUCCCCAGAGCCUGCAGCUUAUCCGCCGUGUUGGGCGCCGGCUUCAGCUUCCCUUUGGCCAUUAACAUCGCGUUGAUCUUCGCGGCCACAGCCGCGGCCGCAUCCAGGGCCCCUGACGGAGCCGCGGAGCUCUCGGAGACCCCCACGGCGGUGCCGCCAUCUCCGCCGCCGGGGAAAGGCCGCCCGGGCAGCGGGGCCGCGCCAGAGAGAAGGAAGGCGGGGGCCGGGCCGGGCUGAUCCCAUUUGCUGCGCCGCCCGCCCGCGGUCCCAGCGUCGCGCUGCCCGCCGCCUCCCGCUGACAUGGCUCCG
RNAcentral lists this long non-coding RNA (645 nucleotides) under Gallus gallus (chicken). The record is from RNAcentral. Lineage: Eukaryota; Metazoa; Chordata; Aves; Galliformes; Phasianidae.